CGCAUGUGAUGGAGUUUGGAGAGGAAUACUCUCUUCUUGAACCAUAUGCUUGACGUGCCUGAAGAACCGGCACCUGAAAUGGUUCCAUGCCAAAUUGAUGGGGCUGGAACCUACCCACCCCUCCAAACGGGGAUGGGACAAUUUUCUUAUUGGGAGCUCUUCCCAAGUGAGGAUGAAUGCUAUAGCUCCACUUGUAGUGUUUUUGAGAGAACGAGGGAGGUAUGAUUUCUUUUAGUUAUUUUUUGAGCAUGAUAUAGUGGUAUAAUUAAUUACAAUGG
Molecule: long non-coding RNA, 278 nt
Filed under: Elaeis guineensis (African oil palm)
Lineage: Eukaryota; Viridiplantae; Streptophyta; Magnoliopsida; Arecales; Arecaceae
Description: long non-coding RNA (EGUI_LNC024973)
Source: RNAcentral